This 236-nucleotide ribosomal RNA is filed under the name uncultured bacterium. RNAcentral's name for it is "partial 16S ribosomal RNA". It matches the Rfam family "Bacterial small subunit ribosomal RNA", at positions 541 to 776 of the family's 1533-position model. The record is from RNAcentral.
UUGUCCGGAUUUACUGGGCGUAACGAGCGUUUAGGCGGCCAAGCAGGUCCGUUGUGAAAACUGGAGGCUUAACCUCCAGACGUCGACGGAAACCGCGUGGCUAGAGUCCGGAAGAGGAGAGUGGAAUUCCUGGUGUAGCGGUGAAAUGCGCAGAUAUCAGGAAGAACACCAAUGGCGAAGGCAGCUCUCUGGGACGGUACUGACGCUGAGACGCGAAAGCGUGGGGAGCGAACAGG